Molecule: ribosomal RNA, 792 nt
Filed under: uncultured bacterium
Lineage: Bacteria
Description: bacterial SSU rRNA
Rfam family: Bacterial small subunit ribosomal RNA
Source: RNAcentral
UAAAGCGCGCGUAGGCCGUUGAGUUAGUUAAUUGUGAAAUCCCAAAGCUUAACUUUGGAACUGCAAUUAAAACUGCUCGACUAGAGUUUGAUAGAGGAAAGCGGAAUACAUAGUGUAGAGGUGAAAUUCGUAGAUAUUAUGUAGAACACCAGUUGCGAAGGCGGCUUUCUGGAUCAACACUGACGCUGAGGCGCGAAAGUAUGGGUAGCAAAGAGGAUUAGAUACCCUCGUAGUCCAUACCAUAAACGAUGAUUGCUAGAUGUUGGAAAUUUAUUUUCAGUAUCGCAGCUAACGCAUUAAGCAAUCCGCCUGGGGAGUACGACCGCGAGGUUAAAACUCACGUGAAUUGACGGGGACCCGCACAAGCGGUGGAUGAUGUGGAUUAAUUCGAUGCUACGCGACAUACCUUACCUACCCUUGACAUGUCACUAACGAAGUAGAGAUACAUUAGGUGCUCGUAAGAGAAAGUGAACACAGGUGCUGCAUGGCUGUCGUCAGCUCGUGUCGUGAGAUGUUGGGUUAAGUCCCGCAACGAGCGCAACCCUUGUCUUUAGUUGCUACGCAAGAGCACUCUAAAGAGACUGCCGGUGACAAACCGGAGGAAGGUGGGGAUGACGUCAAGUCCUCAUGGCCCUUAUGGGUAGGGCUUCACACGUCAUACAAUGGUGCAUACAGAGGGUUGCCAACCCGCGAGGGGGAGCUAAUCUCAGAAAAUGCAUCGUAGUCCGGAUCGUAGUCUGCAACUCGACUACGUGAAGCUGGAAUCGCUAGUAAUCGCGGAUCAGAAUGUCG